This 465-nucleotide ribosomal RNA is filed under the name uncultured bacterium. RNAcentral's name for it is "partial 16S ribosomal RNA". It matches the Rfam family "Bacterial small subunit ribosomal RNA", at positions 28 to 507 of the family's 1533-position model. The record is from RNAcentral.
GACGAACGCUGGCGGCGUGCUUAACACAUGCAAGUCGAACGGAAAGGCGCCUUCGGGGGUGCUGGGGGGGGGAACGGGGGGGUAAGACGUGAGUAACCUGCCCUUGCCUUCGGGAUCACUUGGGGAAACUGGGGCUAGUACCGGUUAUGAAUCCUUGCCUCAGGGUGUGGGUUGGAGAGCUUCGGCGGUUUUGGAUGGACUCGGGGCUUAGCAGCUUGGUGGUUGGGUAGUGGCGUAGCAGGGCUGUGACGGGUAGCCGGCCUGAGAGGGCGACCGGCCACAGUGGGACUUAGAUACGGCCCAGACUCCUACGGGAGGCAGCAGUGGGGAAUAUUGCACAAUGGGCGGAAGCCUGAUGCAGCAACGCCGCGUGCGGGAUGACGGCCUUCGGGUUGGAAACCGCUUUCAGCAGGGGCGAAGCUUGUGGUGACGGUACCUGCAGAAGAAGCACCGGCUAACUACGUG